Molecule: ribosomal RNA, 253 nt
Filed under: uncultured bacterium
Lineage: Bacteria
Description: partial 16S ribosomal RNA
Rfam family: Bacterial small subunit ribosomal RNA
Source: RNAcentral
UACAGAGGGUGCGAGCGUUAAUCGGAAUUACUGGGCGUAAAGCGCACGCAGGUGGCUGAGUCAGUCGAUUGUGAAAGCCCUGGGCUUAACCUGGGAAUUGCAGUCGAUACUACUCAGCUAGAGUAUGGGAGAGGGCAGUGGAAUUCCCGGUGUAGCGGUGAAAUGCGUAGAUAUCGGGAGGAACAUCAGUGGCGAAGGCGGCUGCCUGGCCCAAUACUGACACUCAGGUGCGACAGCGUGGGGAGCAAACAGG